RNAcentral lists this ribosomal RNA (429 nucleotides) under Bacteroidota bacterium. Its description in RNAcentral is "Bacteroidetes bacterium partial 16S ribosomal RNA". It matches the Rfam family "Bacterial small subunit ribosomal RNA", at positions 355 to 776 of the family's 1533-position model. The record is from RNAcentral. Lineage: Bacteria; Pseudomonadati; Bacteroidota.
UAGGGAAUCUUCCGCAAUGGACGCAAGUCUGACGGAGCAACGCCGCGUGAGUGAAGAAGGAUUUCGGUUCGUAAAACUCUGUUGUUAGAGAAGAACAGCGCAUAGAGUAACUGUUAUGCGUGUGACGGUAUCUAACCAGAAAGCCACGGCUAACUACGUGCCAGCAGCCGCGGUAAUACGUAGGUGGCAAGCGGUGUCCGGAUUUAUUGGGCGUAAAGCGAGCGCAGGCGGUCAAUUAAGUCUGAUGUGAAAGCCCCCGGCUCAACCGGGGAGGGUCAUUGGAAACUGGUUGACUUGAGUGCAGAAGAGGAGAGUGGAAUUCCAUGUGUAGCGGUGAAAUGCGUAGAUAUAUGGAGGAACACCAGUGGCGAAGGCGACUCUCUGGUCUGUAACUGACGCUGAGGCUCGAAAGCGUGGGUAGCAAACAGG